Molecule: RNA transcript, 5665 nt
Organism: Gopherus flavomarginatus (Mexican gopher tortoise)
Lineage: Eukaryota; Metazoa; Chordata; Testudines; Testudinidae
Gene: TNFRSF4
Gene name: TNF receptor superfamily member 4
Exons: 8
Source: RefSeq, a predicted model, not a curated record
AGAUUCGGAGAAUCCCAAAACCUGUGUGUCUAACUCCUAUUGAUAAAACUUGAAUGAUGAAUGUAGGUGAAACCUCGCUGCGUCUGUCAUGAGUCUCAUUCUCCCUUUCUGUGCUGUACUAAUUUGUUCAUGAAGGAGAACAAGAUGAUGCCCUUCCCCUCCACCCCCCACUUCUCGCUGCCGCUGACUUCCCCCUCCCACAUCCCAGGCACUCCUUCCAGGUCCUCCUCCUUGGGCACGAAGGGAACAGAACUGGUGUGAUUUUGCUGUACAGGAGGACAACAAACAAUACUAAGGGACAUCCAUGUGGGUUCCUCAUCCCCUGUCCCUAAGGGAAACAGUUCUGCAGGGUGCUUCAUUUCCCACAGAGCACAGGAAGGCUUUGAGAGAAGGGUUAGAAUGGCUGGUUGGUGUAUAGGCCAAAUUCCCCUGCCUACGGCAAUGCAGCUGCUGUGGAAGCUACUGUGGCUCCAAUGCAGUAGCCCCACUGUUGUACUAAGGGCAAAAGGGCAGAUUCCGUGUGCACCUAGCCCCCGUGGAAUCGGCGUGUAUGCAGUCCAUAUUUCACUUGCACCAUUCCCUGAGCUAUAUAUGAUGCACCACACUCUUAAUUUUAAUACUUAGGAGUUAAUUUUGUCAUAAUAAUGGUGGACGCUGUCUCUUAUUUCUCCCUCCAUUAAAGCCCUGCCCGUUUACGUGAGCUGGAGUGAUACUUGCAUAGCAAGAGGCUAAUAUGUGACAUUUAACCACUAUCCCUGAAAACUGCUCGCCAGAAUUCUUGCAAAACUAUUCAGUAUGUUCCCCUUCUAGCUUUUGAAAUGAGUGACAGCGCUUCAGUUCAGAUAACGGGAGGCUAAGGCUGGUGUUUCUCACAAAGGACGUGGUUCGUUCCUAAUAAAACCUUAAGCUAAGAAAUGGCAUGUGGCCCUUGUUUUUUAGGGCCUAAAAUAAAACUUUCAUAGAAUUGAUUCAGAAAGCUUUAUUUUCCCUUCUUCCUUGAAGGAGCCUGAAAGCUGAAAAGAGGAGGAGCUGAAAAGAGGUGAUACGUGGUGGGAAUUUCCCCAUUGCAGGCAUAUGAAUUGCCUUCCUGUUCUUCAGCAGUCUAGGUUCAACCACUCCUAGAGUUUACCUUUUUUUUUUUUUUGCAGGGGAAGUGGAGAGUCAGCAUGGCUGGACGAGUAUUAGCCAAAUUUGUGUUCUCUUCUUUUACUGCUGUUUUGUUCUCCCUGUUGUUCUCUGCUAUGCAGUGUUCAGGGCAGAUUUGUGGAGAAUUUGAAUAUCCCUUACAUAACCGAUGCUGCAAGGAGUGUGCUCCUGGUGAGGGAAUGAGAAACCGCUGCUUGCCAUCAUCCGAAUCAGAGUGCGUCCCCUGCCAAAAUGGAUACUAUAACUCAAAGCAUAACUACUAUCCAUGCAAAAGCUGCACCGUCUGUUACACAGAUAGGGGAAGCAUGGAGGUGAAGAAGUGUGAUAAGAUCUCAGAUACAGUUUGCGUGUGCAUGAAGGGUUACACCCCAUACGACAGCAGAUCGUCAGAGGAAUCUCCGUCAGGAAGAGAAUGCUUCCCUUGUCCUGAUGGCCAUUUUUCCGAUGGAAACAAUGACAGAUGUCGGCCCUGGACCAACUGCACGGCUUAUGGUAAAAAGACUCUCAGAGCUGGGACAAAAAUAGAAGAUGCCAUCUGCGAUGACCAGGACAAACAGGCCACCACAUUCCAAACAUCCACCUUAUACCUCUCUAUCAUCAGCCGCAGAAGCAAUGGAUCUACUACAGCACCCACCCCCUUCACGUCCAAAGACGCCCUUUCCACCACUCCCAUUAAAAAGGAGACUAACUGGGGGUCUUUAUCGCUCAUUUUGAUUUGCUUAACGUUGCUCAUGGUAUCUGGAAUGUCCAUCCUCCUCUUGAUUAUCCAGACGACCAAAAAGGAGAAGCCAAAGAGGCCUCUUGUGAAUGGACAACUUGAUGGAAGGAGCUUUCGAAUUCCUAUCCAGGAAGAGCAAAUCGACUCCAAUUCCAGCCUCAUCAAAAACUGAUUCCCUGUUUUACUACAGUGUACUGUCAUCUGAGCCAAACAGUAGGAACCUAGCAAUGCAACCGGGGCGGCUCCAGGCACCAGCGCAGCAAGCACGUGCCUGGGGCGGCAAGCUGCGUGGGGAGCCUGCCGGUCGCUGUGAGGGCGGCAAGGCAGGUGGCUUUUGGCAGCGCACUUGUGGGAGAUCCGCCGGUCCCGCGGCUUUGCUGGCAAUUCAGCGGCAGGGACGCUGAUGGUGCAGCACCGGUGGACCUCCCGCAGGCAUGCCGCCGAAUCCACGUGACCAGCAGACCUCCGGCUGGUGUGCUGCCGAAAGCUGCCUGCCUGCCUGCCGUGCUUUGGGCGGCAAAAAACGUAGAGCCGCCCCGAAUGCAAUAACUACUCCCCAUGUAAAGGAAUAUUCUAUAUGUGUUGAUGUUCGUUCCAGGGCCUGUGUCUCCUUUCUGGUCUCUCUGAGUGCACCCCUUCGGGUCUUAGGCCUUAUGCCUGUUCCUCUCUUGGGGUGGAAUCAUGUGAUUCUCCCACUCUUAGACUGAGACAUGGGCUGUAGUACCAUGGGUAUCAACUGAGCUAACUGAGCAGGUCCAACUGAGUUUGGGCACCUACUGUUCUUCCCUUUGGGAGUUUGUGAGCAGCGGUAUAUGGUGAGCAGACCUUUUUGAACCCAAACUAUUGUAUUUAGCAAUAGCAGAAUGCAUUAGAGAGAGGAUUUCAAAACAAGUCUAGCUCUACCAUCAUUUGGCGACCUAGGCAGGCCUAGCAUCUCCAGACCUCCCACGUGGCUCCUCUUUCCGAGUCUCAUUCCAGUCUGGUUUCACUUUUGGCUCUCCCUCCCCCUGAGAGAGUGACCCCCUUUAAACCUUGCUAGGAUCCUUUGUUGUCUUGUGUUUUGUGGGCCUUGGCCUUUCCUGGUCAAAACAGUUUUGUAGGUUUGUCUGGAGACAUGAGAACAGAAUCAUGGAAGGUAAUAACUCCAGAACUGCCUCUUAACAGUUUUUAAGCGUUGUUGAGAGGUGGUAAUCUGGAGCCAUUCUGCUUCUUUCUGCUGGUCAGACUCCUGUUAAGCUAAAUCAGUGUAUUCAUACCAUCCCAAUAACCCUUAUUAGAGGAUAGUCCAAAUCCAUGUGUCUAUGUAUGAGGGCAGAGUCUUUAUAUUCACAACCUUGAGAGAAAGCAAAUUCAGAUACGCGGGGAGAAGAUUAAAAGACGGCCACUCAGAGAACAAGCAUGCAGCGUGUUCCAAUUUCAGACUUUAGCACUCAGCAUUUGUACUGCUACUUCACCUGCAAACCCCACACACACCCACUCUUGUGCUUCCUGUUUACAUUCAUGUGCAUCACAACGAACAUCCUGUUAAGAUGGGUGUUUGCAGAGGGGAAAAAGGUGAAGGGUGGGAACAGGCUGCAUGAAAAGCAAAUGCAGAGACUAUGAAAAAAGGGAGGGGAGUGGAGGAAAAGAGCACUUCCAAUGAAAGCAUAAAUAGUAGUUAUUGGGCCAGAUCCUAACCCACUGACAUCAGUAGAACCACGCGUGUGCCACUGGGGAUCUGGCCUACUGUCUUUGUCUAUGUUGUGUGUUUGGCCCCAAUGUGUACGAGCUUAGCUUUCGAGGAUUCUUCUGGCCCUGACAUCACAAUUAAACUGAAUCGCCACAUGGAACGAAAAUCCAAUCAAACCCCAGCUGACUGUGCAAAGCCCCAAAUAGUUGGAGGUUCACAAACCGUUGGGCUCCCCUGUCGCUGAUUCUUGCUGCUUUCCACUGUUGCUUUUGGACCUCUUUCUGUGCCCACAGAAUUAUCAUUGUUCACUAACUAACCUCAGCAAACCCCACUCUGAAUACAGCUGUUGUCUCGUUAGCCUGGCAGAACACAACAAUGUAAACAAUUGAAAAAACACGAGGCCCCUUAGAUAUAAUAUUUCUUCUUCUUGAAAUGAGGCGUCGGCUGGGUGUAGCCAAUAGACUGAUAUUCCAGUGCGACACCCAGGGCUUUCUGCAGCUAUCAUUAUAGUAGAGCUCUGCAGAAUCCCACCGGUAAUGGAUAGACAGUCCAGACCCAGGCUGCCAUUCUGUAUUUGAACACUUUGGGGGAGUUCACACUCAAGAACUGAACAAGCACUGGGCCUGCUCCUGCUCCCGGUUGAAAUAAAUAGGAGUUUGGCAAUUCAUUUCAGUUGGAGUAGGAACAUGCUCUAUGAACAAAUGCUACACUGGUUGCCAAGUGUGUCUGUAGUGGAGGUGCUGCACAUCUUCUCGUUGGCUCAUAUAUUUUCAAGGGGGUAAAUGAUUUUUAAAGUUAAUGGGAGGUGCCCUAUUAAAUACAAGCUGUGAAACGGGUCUUGGGCAAAUCAUUGAAUCCCUCUGUUCCUCAGUCUGCCUGUCUGUAAAAUGGGAGUGAUGAUAUUUACCUCCUUCCUGGCCGAGUGGGUGAGAUUUAAUGUGAACGACAAAAACAGAGCUCUUUCCAAACUGAGGAGUGGCAAGUUUUGUUAUUGGCAUCCAACAGCGACAAAAACAAAGGAUAAGCCUUUGUACUGUACACGUGAAUAAGUUAAUUAUCCCCUACAUAUUUUGGUUUGUCUAAUAUAAAUGGGUCUAGUUUAUUACAUACCCUAUGGUUCCAGUUCUGCAAACAUAUACAAACUAGCCUCCAGAGAGACGACUACUGGGCUUAAAGCUAAGUGUUUGCAUCAGUGUUUGCAGGAUCAGGACCUUACUUAUGUGCAUAUAUUGUAAUAUAUUUUACAUGUAUACUCACAAUGAUGUAAAGUGUGAUUAUUAUUAUUAUAUGUAUAUUUAACAUGCCUGUAAGGGUAUGUCCACACUGCAGUUAGACACUUGCAGCUGACCUGUGCCAGCUGACACAGGCUAAGUGACUGUUUAAUUGUGAUGUAGAAGUUCAGGCAGCAGCCUGGGCUUUGAGACCUUCCCACUGCACAGGGUCCUAGAGCCCAGGUUCCAGCCAGAGUUAAACAGCCCUUUAGCCCAAGCCCGAGUCAGCUGGCACAGGCCUGCCGUGGGUUUUUAAUUGCAGUGCUGAUGUAUCUUGAGUGAGUUUGGCAUAUCUGUAAUAUGUUACACAAUUUUGCAAUAUAUUUUCCUGUAAAUAGCUUUGGAUGUCAUUUUGUGUGCCGUAAUGUAUAAAAUAGAUCAAGGGAAAAAAUCCAAGUGCUACAGCAGAGCUGAGAAGUCUUUCAUUUUAAAUGCCUGUAGUUAAAUAUUUAUUUUGUAUACAAAAUAGCCACCACAUGUGCCAAAAUAUGAACACAAGAGCUGCCUGAAAAUGUUCUUUAAAAAUACACCUCUACCCUGAUAUAACGCUGUCCUCAGGAGCCAAAAAAUCUUACCGCGUUAUAGGUGAAACCGCAUUAUAUCGAAUUUGCUUUGAUGCACCGGAGUGCACAGCCCUGCCUCCCCAGGAUGCUGCUUUACUGCAUUAUAUCCAAAUUCAUGUUAUAUUGGGUUGCGUUAUUUCGGGGUGGAAGUGUACAUAUUGUUAUAUGUUAUACAUAUAGUGUAAUUAAUGAUUUCCUAAAGUGAAAUACAGACAUAUUGUAUACAAACUUUUGUAUUAUAUUCUAAGUAUCAUAAAUGGAGGAAUUAUUUUUAAAAUAAAACAUUUUGGCUAAAAUA